UUUGCCAAACUCCAUAUGACUUCAACAGUAAAUGGAAUGAGUUUUUGAAAAAGAAUCCUAGAUUAAUGUUGAGAAUUGUUUGAAUAUUCAUCAUUUGGACAUACCAUCCAUCCCAAUGACAUGUAUCUAAUUCAUUUCCUUUCCCAUUUGCUUUGUACCAAAAUAGAUCUUCAUUGAUUAUCUUUACCAUAAUUCACCUUGCAUUCUCUUAUUGUUUCACCCCUAGAAUGAAUUGAGAAAAUGCUUGAUUGCAU
RNAcentral lists this long non-coding RNA (254 nucleotides) under Durio zibethinus. RNAcentral's name for it is "long non-coding RNA (DZIB_LNC000762)". The record is from RNAcentral. Lineage: Eukaryota; Viridiplantae; Streptophyta; Magnoliopsida; Malvales; Malvaceae.